CUUUUGAUAUUAAUUUUAGGUCUAGCCUGCUCAAUGAAUUUUAAAUAGCCGCAGUAUCCUGACUGUGCAAAGGUAGCAUAAUCVUUAGUUUUUUAAUUGAAAGCUGGAAUGAAGGGUUGAAUGAGAANAUUACUGUCUCUAAAAAAGUUUUUUAGAACUUUAUUUUUAAGUAAAAAAGCUUAAAUUUAAAUAAAAGACGAGAAGACCCUAUAGAGUUUUAUAUUUAUUUNAAAAAUUAUUUUUUUUAGUAUUUUAAAAUUUUUUUUAGAUAUAAUAUUUGGUUGGGGCGAUUGGAAAAUUUAUAAAACUUUACUUUUAUUAAAACAUUUAUUUAUGAGAAAAUGAUCCUUAUUUUUAGAUUAUAAGAUUAAAUUACCUUAGGGAUAACAGCGUAAUUUUUUUUGAGAGUUCUUAUCGAAAAAAAAGAUUGCGACCUCGAUGUUGGAUUAAAAUUAAUUUUUGGUGUAGAAGCUAAA
RNAcentral lists this ribosomal RNA (476 nucleotides) under Neoglocianus maculaalba. Its description in RNAcentral is "partial 16S ribosomal RNA". The record is from RNAcentral. Lineage: Eukaryota; Metazoa; Arthropoda; Insecta; Coleoptera; Curculionidae.